CCUACGGGAGGCAGCAGUGAGGAAUAUUGGUCAAUGGCCGGAAGGCUGAACCAGCCAUGCCGCGUGAAGGUCAGUGCCCUAUGGGCGUUAAACUUCUUUUGUGCGGGAGCAAUAUUGGUCACGUGUGGCCAGACGAGAGUACCGUACGAAUAAGCAUCGGCUAAAUCCGUGCCAGCAGCCGCGGUAAUACGGGGGAUGCAAUCGUUAUCCGGAUUAAUUGGGUUUAAAGGGUGCGUAGGCGGUGAGGUAAGUCAGCGGUGAAAUGCCCCGGCUCAACGGGGUGACGUGCCAUUGAUACUGGCUUGCUGGAAUGCGGAUGCGGUGGGAGGAAUGUGUGGUGUAGCGGUGAAAUGCAUAGAUAUCACACAGAACACCGAUUGCGAAGGCAUCUCACGAAUCCGCGAUUGACGCUGAUGCACGAAAGCGUGGGUAUCAAACAGGAUUAGAUACCCUGGUAGUC
This 460-nucleotide ribosomal RNA is filed under the name uncultured bacterium. Its description in RNAcentral is "partial 16S ribosomal RNA". It matches the Rfam family "Bacterial small subunit ribosomal RNA", at positions 338 to 795 of the family's 1533-position model. The record is from RNAcentral.